ACAAGCGGAGGAGCAUGUGGUUAAUUCGAUGAUACGCGAGGAACUUACCUGGGCUCGAACGUAAGAUGACUGUAGGUGAAAGCUUACAUCUCUUCGGAGCAUUUUACGAGGUGCUGCAUGGUUGUCGUCAGCUCGUGCCGUGAGGUGUCGGGUUAAGUCCCAUAACGAGCGCAACCCCUACCUUUAGUUGCCAUCAGGUAAUGCUGGGGACUCUAAAGGAACUGCCUACGCAAGUAGUGAGGAAGCGGGGAUGACGUCAAAUCAGCACGGCCCUUACGUCCAGGGCUACACACGUGCUACAAUGGCCGAUACAGAGGGCAGCUACCUGGUGACAGGAUGCAAAUCUCCAAAGUCGGUCUCAGUUCGGAUCGGAGUCUGCAACCCGACUCCGUGAAGUUGGAUUCGCUAGUAAUCGCGCAUCAGCCAUGGCGCGGUGAAUACGUUCCCGGGCCUU
This 454-nucleotide ribosomal RNA is filed under the name uncultured Sphingobacteriales bacterium. RNAcentral's name for it is "bacterial SSU rRNA". It matches the Rfam family "Bacterial small subunit ribosomal RNA", at positions 925 to 1382 of the family's 1533-position model. Lineage: Bacteria; Pseudomonadati; Bacteroidota; Sphingobacteriia; Sphingobacteriales. The record is from RNAcentral.